Molecule: long non-coding RNA, 219 nt
Filed under: Malus domestica (apple)
Lineage: Eukaryota; Viridiplantae; Streptophyta; Magnoliopsida; Rosales; Rosaceae
Description: long non-coding RNA (MDOM_LNC021198)
Source: RNAcentral
CUAAGAGAGAAAAGGGAAAGGCCUUCAUUUUCAAAAUGCUCCCAUCAACAUUCACGGGAGUCAUACUCGAACAAACAACCUCAAACUCCUUCAAGUGUUUAUUAGGAUCUUCCAUGGACAUCCCGUGGAACUUAGGAAUGUGAUGCAACAAACUUGAUUUCAAUUCGAACUCGUCCGUCUUCCCUAGGGCAGCCAUGGGGUAUUGGAUGCAUAGGGGAG